RNAcentral lists this transfer RNA (73 nucleotides) under Streptomyces galbus. RNAcentral describes it as "tRNA-Gln". It matches the Rfam family "tRNA". From Rfam's summary of the family: Transfer RNA (tRNA) molecules are approximately 80 nucleotides in length. Their secondary structure includes four short double-helical elements and three loops (D, anti-codon, and T loops). RNAcentral also lists the same sequence under 1 other name. The record is from RNAcentral. Lineage: Bacteria; Bacillati; Actinomycetota; Actinomycetes; Kitasatosporales; Streptomycetaceae.
UCCCCCGUGGUGUAACUGGCAGCACACUGGCUUUUGGUGCCAGCAGGUCAGGGUUCGAAUCCUUGCGGGGGAG